This 280-nucleotide unclassified non-coding RNA is filed under the name Hevea brasiliensis (rubber tree). The record is from RNAcentral. Lineage: Eukaryota; Viridiplantae; Streptophyta; Magnoliopsida; Malpighiales; Euphorbiaceae.
UCACCACUUCGUUACCCAUAGGUAAGGGAGAGAGGACCAAAUCCAAUGCAGAUGACGCGUGGAGUAAAAUUGCAAUUGAUAUGACUAUGAAUUUUUUAUGAAUUGGACAUUGACGGAUGGAUUAAAGGACUAAUUUUCAAAUUUACGUUAUAAUUAUAAAAAAAUUGACGCCGCAAUUGUUAGCACUAUGGAUAAUAUUUUGGUUUGUUAUGCUUUGCAUGCGCUUAUGGAUGAAGUGAAGGUAAAGCCUCCAAAAGCUUAGGAAAGGAGAGCAAUUGUG